Molecule: long non-coding RNA, 202 nt
Filed under: Brassica napus (rape)
Lineage: Eukaryota; Viridiplantae; Streptophyta; Magnoliopsida; Brassicales; Brassicaceae
Description: long non-coding RNA (BNAP_LNC009793)
Source: RNAcentral
UGUCAACUGGAAUCUGAUUACAUCGUUGUGUUCUGAGGAUAUUGUUGCCCACGUCCUUUCUUCCCUAGUUUUAAAAUCUCAAACAUUAUCAUUCAUACCCUUAGUGUGAGUUUUAGGAUCCACAAUGGCUCAAGAUCAGAUAAUCUAUAUAUAAUUACAAAUAAAAUGAUUUGCUACCCACUUAAAAUUAUGCAUGUCAAAC